This 651-nucleotide ribosomal RNA is filed under the name uncultured Alphaproteobacteria bacterium. RNAcentral describes it as "bacterial SSU rRNA". It matches the Rfam family "Bacterial small subunit ribosomal RNA", at positions 28 to 725 of the family's 1533-position model. The record is from RNAcentral. Lineage: Bacteria; Pseudomonadati; Pseudomonadota; Alphaproteobacteria.
AGCGAACGCUGGCGGCAGGCUUAACACAUGCAAGUCGAACGCACUCUUCGGAGUGAGUGGCAGACGGGUGAGUAACACGUGGGAACGUGCCCUUCAGUUCGGAAUAACUCAGGGAAACUUGAGCUAAUACCGGAUACGCCCUUCGGGGGAAAGAUUUAUCGCUGAAGGAUCGGCCCGCGUCUGAUUAGCUAGUUGGUGGGGUAAUGGCCUACCAAGGCGACGAUCAGUAGCUGGUCUGAGAGGAUGAUCAGCCACACUGGGACUGAGACACGGCCCAGACUCCUACGGGAGGCAGCAGUGGGGAAUAUUGGACAAUGGGCGAAAGCCUGAUCCAGCCAUGCCGCGUGAGUGAUGAAGGCCUUAGGGUUGUAAAGCUCUUUUAUCCGGGAAGAUAAUGACUGUACCGGAAGAAUAAGCCCCGGCUAACUUCGUGCCAGCAGCCGCGGUAAUACGAAGGGGGCUAGCGUUGCUCGGAAUCACUGGGCGUAAAGGGCGCGUAGGCGGCCGAUCAAGUCAGAGGUGAAAGCCCAGGGCUCAACCCUGGAAUUGCCUUUGACACUGUUUGGCUAGAGACCGGAAGAGGUUAGUGGAACUGCGAGUGUAGAGGUGAAAUUCGUAGAUAUUCGCAAGAACACCAGUGGCGAAGGCGGC